RNAcentral lists this ribosomal RNA (444 nucleotides) under uncultured bacterium. RNAcentral describes it as "bacterial SSU rRNA". It matches the Rfam family "Bacterial small subunit ribosomal RNA", at positions 32 to 464 of the family's 1533-position model. The record is from RNAcentral.
AAUCAACGCUGGCGGCGUGCCUAAUACAUGCAAGUCGAACGCGAGAGGGGCUUCGGCCCCAAUUGAGUGGCAAACGGGUGAGUAACACGUGGGUGAUCUACCUUCGAGUGGGGGAUAACGUUUCGAAAGGAACGCUAAUACCGCAUAACAUCCUGUCUUUGGACAGAUGGAGAUCAAAGCCGGGACGCAAGGCCUGGCGCUUGAAGAGGAGCCCGCGCCCGAUUAGCAGUUGGUGAGGUAACGGCUCACCAAGGCGACGAUCGGUAGCCGGCCUGAGAGGGCGGACGGCCACACUGGGACUGAGACACGGCCCAGACUCCUACGGAGGCAGCAGUAGGGAAUUGUUCGCAAUGGGCGCAAGCCUGACGACGCAACGCCGCGUGAAGGAUGAAGGUCUUCGGAUUGUAAACUUCUGUCGUGUGGGACGAACAUCUUUCAGGAUAA